GACGAACGCUGGCGGCGUGCUUAACACAUGCAAGUCGAACGGAAAGGCCCUGCUUUUGUGGGGUGCUCGAGUGGCGAACGGGUGAGUAACACGUGAGUAACCUGCCCUUGACUUUGGGAUAACUUCAGGAAACUGGGGCUAAUACCGGAUAGGAGCUCCUGCUGCAUGGUGGGGGUUGGAAAGUUUCGGCGGUAGGGGAUGGACUCGCGGCUUAUGAGCUUGUUGGUGGGGUAGUGGCUUACCAAGGCUUUGACGGGUAGCCGGCCUGAGAGGGUGACCGGCCACAAUGGGACUGCGAGACGGCCCAGACUCCUACGGGAGGCAGCAGUGGGGAAUAUUGCACAAUGGGCGGAAGCCUGAUGCAGCAACGCCGCGUGCGGGAUGACGGCCUUCGGGUUGUAAACCGCUUUCGCCUGUGACGAAGCGUGAGUGACGGUAAUGGGUAAAGAAGCACCGGCUAACUACGUG
This 468-nucleotide ribosomal RNA is filed under the name uncultured bacterium. RNAcentral's name for it is "partial 16S ribosomal RNA". It matches the Rfam family "Bacterial small subunit ribosomal RNA", at positions 28 to 507 of the family's 1533-position model. The record is from RNAcentral.